GCCGGGCGUGGUGGCUCACGCCUGUAAUCCCAGCACUUUGGGAGGCUGAGGUGGGUGGAUCUCCUGAGGUCAGGAGUUCAAGACCAGCCUGACCAACAUGGUGAAACCCAGUCUCUA
Unclassified non-coding RNA from Macaca mulatta (Rhesus monkey), 117 nucleotides. It matches the Rfam family "Metazoan signal recognition particle RNA". Rfam says of the family: The signal recognition particle (SRP) is a universally conserved ribonucleoprotein. It is involved in the co-translational targeting of proteins to membranes. Lineage: Eukaryota; Metazoa; Chordata; Mammalia; Primates; Cercopithecidae. The record is from Ensembl.